AUUGAACGCUGGCGGCAUGCUUUACACAUGCAAGUCGAACGGUAACAGGCCUUCGGGUGCUGACGAGUGGCGAACGGGUAAGUAAUGCAUCGGAACGUGCCCAGAGGUGGGGGAUAACGCAGCGAAAGCUGUGCUAAUACCGCAUGUGAUCUGAGGAUGAAAGCGGGGGACCAGGCAGCAAUGUUUGGCCUCGCGCCUUUGGAGCGGCCGAUGUCAGAUUAGGUAGUUGGUGGGGUAAAGGCCUACCAAGCCGACGAUCUGUAGCUGGUCUGAGAGGACGACCAGCCACACUGGGACUGAGACACGGCCCAGACUCCUACGGGAGGCAGCAGUGGGGAAUUUUGGACAAUGGGCGCAAGCCUGAUCCAGCAAUGCCGCGUGCGGGAAGAAGGCCUUCGGGUUGUAAACCGCUUUUGUACGGAACGAAAAGGCUCUGGCUAAUACCUGGGGCUGAUGACGGUACCGUAAGAAUAAGCACCGGCUAACUACGUG
This 492-nucleotide ribosomal RNA is filed under the name uncultured bacterium. RNAcentral's name for it is "partial 16S ribosomal RNA". It matches the Rfam family "Bacterial small subunit ribosomal RNA", at positions 30 to 507 of the family's 1533-position model. The record is from RNAcentral.